This 914-nucleotide ribosomal RNA is filed under the name uncultured marine archaeon. Its description in RNAcentral is "bacterial SSU rRNA". It matches the Rfam family "Archaeal small subunit ribosomal RNA", at positions 1 to 922 of the family's 1478-position model. The record is from RNAcentral.
UUCCGGUUGAUCCCGCCGGACCUGACUGCUAUCGGAUUGAUACUAAGCCAUGCUAGUCUUUGUAGUAAUACAAGGCAUACGGCUCAGUAACGCGUAGUCAACCUACCCUAUGGACGGGGAUAAUCUCGGGAAACUGAGCAUAAUACCCGGUAGACCACUUAUCCUGGAAUGGUUAGUGGUUAAAAUGAUUCGUCGCCAUAGGAUGGGACUGCGGCCUAUCAGCUUGUUGGUGAGGUAAUGGCCCACCAAGGCGAUUACAGGUACGGGCUCUGAGAGGAGAAGCCCGGAGAUGGGUACUGAGACACGGACCCAGGCCCUAUGGGGCGCAGCAGGCGAGAAAACUUUGCAAUGUGCGAAAGCACGACAAGGUUAAUCCGAGUGAUUUCUGCUAAAGAGAUCUUUUGUUAGUCCUAGAAACACUAACGAAUAAGGGGUGGGCAAGUUCUGGUGUCAGCCGCCGCGGUAAAACCAGCACCUCAAGUGGUCAGGAUGAUUAUUGGGCCUAAAGCAUCCGUAGCCGGCUCUGUAAGUUUUCGGUUAAAUCUGUACGCUCAACGUACAGGCUGCCGGGAAUACUGCAGAACUAGGGAGUGGGAGAGGUAGACGGUACUCGGUAGGAAGUGGUAAAAUGCUUUGAUCUAUCGAUGACCACCUGUGGCGAAGGCGGUCUACCAGAACACGUCCGACGGUGAGGGAUGAAAGCUGGGGGAGCAAACCGGAUUAGAUACCCGGGUAGUCCCAGCUGUAAACGAUGCAGACUCGAUGAUGCAUUGGCAUAUAGCCAGUGCAGUGUCGCAGGGAAGCCGUUAAGUCUGCCGCCUGGGAAGUACGUACGCAAGUAUGAAACUUAAAGGAAUUGGCGGGGGAGCACCACAAGGGGUGAAGCCUGCGGUUCAAUUGGAGUCAACGCCGGG